UACGGAGGGAGCUAGCGUUAUUCGGAAUUACUGGGCGUAAAGCGUGCGCAGGCGGUUUUGUAAGUCUGACGUGAAAUCCCCGGGCUCAACCUGGGAAUUGCGUUGGAGACUGCAAGGCUAGAAUCUGGCAGAGGGGGGUAGAAUUCCACGUGUAGCAGUGAAAUGCGUAGAGAUCGUAAGGAAGACCAGUGGCGAAGGCGAGUCUCUGGACAGUUACUGACGCUGAGGCACGAAGGCCAGGGGAGCAAACAGG
RNAcentral lists this ribosomal RNA (253 nucleotides) under uncultured bacterium. Its description in RNAcentral is "partial 16S ribosomal RNA". It matches the Rfam family "Bacterial small subunit ribosomal RNA", at positions 524 to 776 of the family's 1533-position model. The record is from RNAcentral.